RNAcentral lists this transfer RNA (68 nucleotides) under Ictidomys tridecemlineatus (thirteen-lined ground squirrel). Its description in RNAcentral is "Spermophilus tridecemlineatus (thirteen-lined ground squirrel) tRNA". It matches the Rfam family "tRNA". From Rfam's summary of the family: Transfer RNA (tRNA) molecules are approximately 80 nucleotides in length. Their secondary structure includes four short double-helical elements and three loops (D, anti-codon, and T loops). Further hydrogen bonds mediate the characteristic L-shaped molecular structure. tRNAs have two regions of fundamental functional importance: the anti-codon, which is responsible for specific mRNA codon recognition, and the 3' end, to which the tRNAs corresponding amino acid is attached (by aminoacyl-tRNA synthetases). tRNAs cope with the degeneracy of the genetic code in two manners: having more than one tRNA (with a specific anti-codon) for a particular amino acid; and 'wobble' base-pairing, i.e. permitting non-standard base-pairing at the 3rd anti-codon position. The record is from Rfam by way of RNAcentral. Lineage: Eukaryota; Metazoa; Chordata; Mammalia; Rodentia; Sciuridae.
GGAGUUGUGGCUCAUGGUAGAGCACUCGCCUAGCAUGUGUGAGGCCCUAGGUUCGAUCCUCAGCACCA